This 1794-nucleotide ribosomal RNA is filed under the name Listeria monocytogenes. RNAcentral's name for it is "partial 23S ribosomal RNA". It matches the Rfam family "Bacterial large subunit ribosomal RNA", at positions 415 to 2207 of the family's 2925-position model. The record is from RNAcentral. Lineage: Bacteria; Bacillati; Bacillota; Bacilli; Caryophanales; Listeriaceae.
CGGCGGAACACGUGAAAUUCCGUCGGAAUCCGGGAGGACCAUCUCCCAAGGCUAAAUACUCCCUAGUGACCGAUAGUGAACCAGUACCGUGAGGGAAAGGUGAAAAGCACCCCGGAAGGGGAGUGAAACAGUUCCUGAAACCGUGUGCCUACAAGUAGUUAGAGCCCGUUAAUGGGUGAUAGCGUGCCUUUUGUAGAAUGAACCGGCGAGUUACGAUUUGUUGCAAGGUUAAGCGGAAAAAGCGGAGCCGUAGCGAAAGCGAGUCUGAAUAGGGCGCAUAAGUAACAGGUCGUAGACCCGAAACCAGGUGAUCUACCCAUGUCCAGGAUGAAGGUAAGGUAAUACUUACUGGAGGUCCGAACCCACGCACGUUGAAAAGUGCGGGGAUGAGGUGUGGGUAGCGGAGAAAUUCCAAUCGAACUUGGAGAUAGCUGGUUCUCUCCGAAAUAGCUUUAGGGCUAGCCUCGAGGUAAAGAGUCAUGGAGGUAGAGCACUGUUUGGACUAGGGGCCCUUCUCGGGUUACCGAAUUCAGAUAAACUCCGAAUGCCAUGUACUUAUACUCGGGAGUCAGACUGCGAGUGAUAAGAUCCGUAGUCGAAAGGGAAACAGCCCAGACCACCAGUUAAGGUCCCCAAAUAUAUGUUAAGUGGAAAAGGAUGUGGGGUUGCUUAGACAACCAGGAUGUUGGCUUAGAAGCAGCCACCAUUGAAAGAGUGCGUAAUAGCUCACUGGUCGAGUGACCCCGCGCCGAAAAUGUACCGGGGCUAAACAUAUUACCGAAACUGUGGAUGAACCUCAUUAGAGGUUCGUGGUAGGAGAGCGUUCUAAGGGCGGUGAAGUCAGACCGGAAGGACUGGUGGAGCGCUUAGAAGUGAGAAUGCCGGUAUGAGUAGCGAAAGAAGGGUGAGAAUCCCUUCCACCGAAUAUCUAAGGUUUCCUGAGGAAGGCUCGUCCGCUCAGGGUUAGUCGGGACCUAAGCCGAGGCCGAUAGGCGUAGGCGAUGGACAACAGGUAGAGAUUCCUGUACCAGUGCUAAUUGUUUAACCGAUGGGGUGACACAGAAGGAUAGGGAAUCGCACGAAUGGAAAUGUGCGUCCAAGCAGUGAGUGUGAGAAGUAGGCAAAUCCGCUUCUCGCGAAGCAUGAGCUGUGAUGGGGAAGGAAAUUAAGUACGGAAGUUCCUGAUUUCACGCUGUCAAGAAAAGCCUCUAGGAAGAGUAGUACUGCCCGUACCGCAAACCGACACAGGUAGAUGAGGAGAGAAUCCUAAGGUGAGCGAGAGAACUCUCGUUAAGGAACUCGGCAAAAUGACCCCGUAACUUCGGGAGAAGGGGUGCUCUAUUAGGGUGCAAGCCCGAGAGAGCCGCAGUGAAUAGGCCCAGGCGACUGUUUAGCAAAAACACAGGUCUCUGCAAAACCGUAAGGUGACGUAUAGGGGCUGACGCCUGCCCGGUGCUGGAAGGUUAAGAGGAGUGCUUAGCUUCGGCGAAGGUACGAAUUGAAGCCCCAGUAAACGGCGGCCGUAACUAUAACGGUCCUAAGGUAGCGAAAUUCCUUGUCGGGUAAGUUCCGACCCGCACGAAAGGCGCAACGAUCUGGGCACUGUCUCAACGAGAGACUCGGUGAAAUUAUAGUACCUGUGAAGAUGCAGGUUACCCGCGACAGGACGGAAAGACCCCGUGGAGCUUUACUGCAACCUGAUAUGGAAUGUUUGUACCGCUUGUACAGGAUAGGUAGGAGCCGAAGAGACGUGUGCGCUAGCAUACGAGGAGGCAAUGGUGGGAUACUACCCUG